Molecule: ribosomal RNA, 812 nt
Filed under: uncultured Bacteroidota bacterium
Lineage: Bacteria; Pseudomonadati; Bacteroidota
Description: bacterial SSU rRNA
Rfam family: Bacterial small subunit ribosomal RNA
Source: RNAcentral
UGGUCAGCAAUGGCCAUGAGAGCGGCGAACGGGUGAGUAACGCGUACACGACCUACCUUUGACAGGGGGAUAGCCCUGGGAAACUGGGAUUAAUACCGCAUAUAAUUCAGAUAAGUAAAGGGAUUUGAAUAAAAGUUCAGGCGGUCAAAGAUGGGUGUGCGUCUGAUUAGCUAGUUGGUAAGGUAACGGCUUACCAGGGCGAUGAUCAGUAGGGGGCGUGAGAGCGUGGUCCCCCACACGGGUACUGAGACACGGACCCGACUCCUACGGGAGGCAGCAGUAAGGAAUAUUGGACAAUGGCCGCAAGGCUGAUCCAGCCAUCCAGCGUGCAGGAAGAAGGCCCUAUGGGUUGUAAACUGCUUUUAUCAGGGAAGAAACCUGUGGAUUUACUCCGCAGCUGACGGUACCUGAAGAAUAAGCACCGGCUAACUCCGUGCCAGCAGCCGCGGUAAUACGGAGGGUGCGAGCGUUAUCCGGAAUUACUGGGUUUAAAGGGUGCGUAGGCGGCGCUGUAAGUCAGGAGUGAAAGUUUGCGGCUCAACCGUAAAAUUGCUUUUGAUACUGCAGUGCUGGAAUUAGGAUGAGGUCAGCGGAAUGUGGCAUGUAGCGGUGAAAUGCAUAGAUAUGCCAUAGAACACCAAUUGCGAAGGCAGCUGGCUAGACCUGGAUUGACGCUGAGGCACGAAAGCGUGGGGAGCGAACAGGAUUAGAUACCCUGGUAGUCCACGCCCUAAACGAUGCUCACUCGACGUAUGACGCUAGACGUUGUGCGUCCAAGGGAAACCGUUAAGUGAGCCACCUGGGGAGUACGA